AAGACUAUACUUUCAGGGAUCAUUUCUAUAGUGUUCAACUGGAGAAAUGCCUUUCGUGAAAGUUUGGUCUCGCUAAUCACGAUGAAGAGGUUUGGCAUCCUUUUCUGAACGUGAAACCAGUACAGGCUUGUAGUUACAGUACUAUGUCUGUCCUAUUGGUGAUCGUUCCGAGCAAUACUAAUAUGCUUGGAGGAAAAAGAUGCGUUCUGAGUGAU
Megalops cyprinoides (Indo-Pacific tarpon) is the source of this 215-nucleotide small nucleolar RNA. RefSeq annotates it as small nucleolar RNA U3. Lineage: Eukaryota; Metazoa; Chordata; Actinopteri; Elopiformes; Megalopidae. The record is from RefSeq and is a predicted model, not a curated record. The transcript has a single exon.